UGUACAAGGUUUCCGUAGGUGAACCUGCGGAAGGAUCAUUA
RNAcentral lists this ribosomal RNA (41 nucleotides) under Debaryomyces hansenii. RNAcentral's name for it is "partial 18S ribosomal RNA". The record is from RNAcentral. Lineage: Eukaryota; Fungi; Ascomycota; Pichiomycetes; Serinales; Debaryomycetaceae.